RNAcentral lists this ribosomal RNA (503 nucleotides) under uncultured Actinomycetes bacterium. RNAcentral's name for it is "bacterial SSU rRNA". It matches the Rfam family "Bacterial small subunit ribosomal RNA", at positions 8 to 522 of the family's 1533-position model. Lineage: Bacteria; Bacillati; Actinomycetota; Actinomycetes. The record is from RNAcentral.
AGAGUUUGAUCCUGGCUCAGGAUGAACGCCGGCGGCGUGCUUAACACAUGCAAGUCGAACGAUGACCCGGCGCUUGCACCGGUGAUUAGUGGCGAACGGGUGAGUAACACGUGAGUAACCUGCCCUUAACUCUGGGAUAAGCCUGGGAAACUGGGUCUAAUACCGGAUAUGACUCCUCAUCGCAUGGUGGGGGGUGGAAAGCUUUAUUGUGGUUUUGGAUGGACUCGCGGCCUAUCAGCUUGUUGGUGAGGUAAUGGCUCACCAAGGCGACGACGGGUAGCCGGCCUGAGAGGGUGACCGGCCACACUGGGACUGAGACACGGCCCAGACUCCUACGGGAGGCAGCAGUGGGGAAUAUUGCACAAUGGGCGAAAGCCUGAUGCAGCGACGCCGCGUGAGGGAUGACGGCCUUCGGGUUGUAAACCUCUUUCAGUAGGGAAGAAGCGAAAGUGACGGUACCUGCAGAAGAAGCGCCGGCUAACUACGUGCCAGCAGCCGCGGUG